Molecule: non-coding RNA, 9646 nt
Organism: Microcebus murinus (gray mouse lemur)
Lineage: Eukaryota; Metazoa; Chordata; Mammalia; Primates; Cheirogaleidae
Source: RefSeq, a predicted model, not a curated record
CCCUUUCUCGGAAGGACAGACGCGGGGCGAGAGGGGCGCGGGCGGGGCGCCCCGGAACCCCGAGCCGCGCGGGGCGCGGGGCGCUCCCCGGGUCCCCCCGCUCGGGGGCGCCCUUCCCCCGCACCCCGCGGUCGCGGGCUCUUUCCGGGGCGUCACGAGCGCCAUUCACUUGUCAGGUUCUCGGGAAGUUGAAAUCGUGUUCGGGAUGUAAUAGGAGAAAGAGGAGGAGGACGUGCAGGCGUAGAAAAAUGCGGUUUCCAUAGCGCCGGGAGGAGGGCGGGCCUCAGCAGAAAGCAGCCCCGGAGCCGGGGUCUCCGCGCCGGCGGUCCUCGCGAGACCCCCGCGCCCCGGUGGCGGGCGGGCGCGCCCACACCUGCGGGCGCGGCACCAGGCGGCGCCCGCCAAGUUGAGAUGCCCUUGAAGAACUGCCUCGGAUUGUUGUAUCUGCGUGGCUUUUGUGACUUUCAAAGUCAGUGACAAAUAAGCACCCAUACAGUUACGUCUCCUAGACGACCAAGUGACGGUGGUGAGGGUGGGGCUUUUUUGAGCUCACAUCAGAGCAGGCUCCGGAUCCCCAAAAUCUAAGAAGGUCAAACAAAAUAAACCCUUGCCUGUUUUUUUUUAAUUGUGUGUCUUCAUGAAACAAUUUGCAACAAUCAUUUAUCUUACUAUUGAUAUAAUCUUGGGUUUUUAAAAUUCGGUUUAGGACGUUUAUCUUUGAAUGUUCCCUAUAAUUUAUGAAAGUCUUUAUUUUAAAUAUGAUGAAAUCUUAAAUCUAAGAAAAGUUAAAUUUGUAAUUUUUGAAGGGAUUAUAUUUAUAUUUUAACAUAUUCAUAUAAUAUUAUCUUGGCUAAUUUUAUGGGUGGAGAGCACUGACUAAUACAAAGAUCAUAGCAUUUUUAUUUUUAGCAUAUAUACAGAUAUGAUUAUUGGUGAGUAGCAUAAAUUUGGGAAGAACGACCAGUGUGGCAAAUAUCAUAAGAUUUGCCUCAGUGGGAUGUAAAGUUGAUUUUCCAUUUUUAAGCCAUACCUUAGAAAAAUAAUACCUCAAGGAAUGCCAGUGUAAGUGUGUGCACCUGUGUGUGUGUGUGUGUGUGUGUGUUAAGGGCACCACCUUUAUUGAACGAUGUGCUUUGGUUUUCUGUUCCUUUUAGAUCCUAUUGCUUUUUUUAUGUGAACAAAUGUUGCCUAGCAAAAUGUCUACACAGAAAGGAAAGAUGAAGGGAUUCUUAUCUUGUAGCUUGAAGAAAAUGUGGCCCAACUUUGUUGACUUUGUGAUAAGUUCCAUCCCACUUUAGGAGGGAUGCCGGUGGGCCUGCCUAGAUGUUCCAUAACCCCAAACAGCAGAUGGUGACCGGCUUCCUCCCUUCAGCAGCGGGUAAUGGCUUCUUCUGAGAAGGAAUAUUACACCGUUUGAUCCUGUGGACAUCCAAAUACAAACCUGCAACAACCGCACAGCUGUGCCUGUUGGGAGGGACAGUCCCUCGUGUGUCUCCUGUUCCCACUCCUCGUGCUGGGAACUCCCUAAACUUCUGGGCACCAGCAGCGAGAAAGGGAGGACUGGACCUGUCCUCUGGCUCCCGCAGCCCCAGCUUCUGCUCCUGCUCCUCUGGCUUCCGCAGAAGGGAAGGGAGAAGAGCCUACCUGAACAUACUUUUAUAAUUUGGCUGCUUGUUCCUUCUCCCUGGCAAGUAUCUAGAUGCCGGGUGUUAUCUCUGUAUUUCUGGGCUCCCCAGGAGCUCCACCGUCAGCCAGCCGGAGUCUCCUCUGAGACAGGUCACUUUCCUGGCAGCCUUCUUGGGAGAAGACUUUGAGCCAGGCCCCAGUCCCUGCCCAUGGUAUCAGGUCAGUGGGGAACUCUGCAUCCUUGCCCCUCCCCACACCUGUCCCUAAUUUGGGAAGAGCAAGUCUCUCUCACCAUUGCUCUUUUUGUCCUGUCACUGUGGGCUACUCCAGAUGUUCUUCUUUCCUGCUUCUCUAGGUAAUAGUCAACAGUCUCUUGGUUCAAAUGUGCCCACCAAUUCCAGGAGAUGCCUUGUGUGCACACCCCUGCACCCACCCCACCCCCACAUACCUUCCUGGAGCUCCUGGCCAUGCCCCGCCUGAUCCAGUGCGGCUCUUGUGAGAUUUUACAGCUCAGGGACUUUUGUCUUCUUGGAAGUACAUCCCGUAUUGCUCAAUGAUUCUCACGGCCAUCUAUUCAUUGACUUGGGAGAACAAAUGCCGAAAACUCCAAACUAGACCAAUAACUCCCUUCAAGGAAAGCCAUAAACAUAAUCAGUCUCCUUGAAUUCCUCCUCUUCAUUUAUAUUGGCUGUUGGUGGGUGAUGGGUGAAGGAUCUCAGAAAUGGUUUUGGCCACUUUUUGCAAGUCCUGUGGUUUUCCCGAUCAGCGGUGAGGGCAAUCCUGCUCCAUCGUCCUCAGCUCCUAAGCCCCAGCUGAAUCUCUGGGGCUCUAGGGAAGUUCCAUUUAAUAUUGCAUCACAGUCAUUUCAGCUGAGACUGUGUUCGUUUGAGCAAAGCAAGCCUGGCAUGUACCCCUCCUGUUUCUUAUUCAUUUCUGAGGCCUUAGGGUCCAUUUUUUAUAGAAGCUCUUUCUCCCCAGGAAGGCCCCUGUAAGUGCCAGGUUUAUUACUGCUCCGUUUCAGCUCCCUGCCACCCAUUUGGCAUCCCCUAGGAAUUCCCCUUCGCUUACACAGAGGUCCCAAAUAUCCUCUUCCUCUGCUCCUUGGCAACAAGUGAACGCUUGAGUAAACAAGUCAACACAGAGAUCAAUGCCCUGCCUUCUCCUGACCACACAGGCCGGUAGUUUUCCAUGUGAAGGUUCAUGACCAAUUUUCACCUUUCCUAAUAAUCAAACCACUUUCCCUUUGCACACAGAUGAGUGUGUAUCUGUCUCUACAAAAACAUGUACAACAUAGAGGUAAACUGUAUCAGAUGGUCAAAAGGACAAUGAGAACCCUCAAAGAAAGAGGAAUGUCUUUCUAUCAGCUUGGAAACAAUGGAAAGAAAAUAGGAGCCUUCUUUGGGACAAGUCAAUAAAACACAAAUAUAAUGCGGCAAACAAAGGUCGAGUGGCCUGAAGUGCUAUAAAGCCUGUGCAUUUGUAACGGCUACCACGUCAGUAAGUCGAGCUAUGCCAGCCUCCUGGAAGCCCGGAUAUGUGUCCUUAUCCCAAUCACCAUGCUCUAUCCCUCCAAAGUAACCACCAUCCAAACAUUUAUAUUAAUUGCUCCCUUACAUUGUUUACUAUUGCAUUUAGAUUUACUGUGUUUUUAAUUCUACACCCCCCCCCAUUCCAUUCUUUUUCUUGUAGUUCAUCUAUUGAAGAAUGUGGGCUCUUUCUCCGAUGAUGUUUCCCGCAGACUAGAUCUUGCUAAUUACUAUUAAAAUAAUUGUACACAGCAGUUGUCCUGUGUCUCCUCCAUGCAGCCGGAUUCAAAGGUUUGAUCACAUUCCUUUGGCAGGACUACAGGUGGCUUUGAGCUCUGUCAUCAGAAGGCACAUGGUGUCUGAUUUUGCUCCUGUUUGACAAUGACAGUCAUUGGCGCUCAAUGCCUGGAAGCAUAGUUUAGCCAGAAACUAGAAAAUACUUAUAUUUUAAUUCAAUAAUUUUGUUUUUGUUUAUUUUCUAAAACAAAUCUUACAAGGAGAUCCUAGUCUAAUCUUUGGUUGCCACUAUGUACAGUUAAGGUAGGAUAAGCAGAAAAAGUGCUUGAUUCUUCCUUUUACUUGCUAAUAUUUUGGGAUAAUGAACUCGUUACUUAUCCUCUUCAGAAAGUAACAAUUUAAAAAAUGUAUCAUUAUGAACACAAGGAGUUAAGCCUAUGUGUCCAUCUAUGCCCGCUUGGAUGUGGUACAGAGCUCACUUUUGCUCUGGGCUUCACUCAAAACUGAUAGUUUUAGUAAUACCUAGACACUGGGUCAUAACAGUGUUCCCAGUGACCAUGUUGCCUCUAAAACCCCAAAAGAGCUAUCAACCACUAUGCUGAUUUCUUAGUAGCAGAAAGCACAAAGUACAAGCUAAUUCUUUAGAGCUGACGUCUGGUAUCAUGCCUAGCUCAUUGGACAGGAACGAUUUCACAGAUGUGUCAUUUUCUGAGUGUUUUUCAGGGUUAUUGGACAUACAUUUUGGCAAGUCCGAUCGAUGUGCAUGGUGACAUCACUAUGGUAGACCAGCAUGUCAUUCUGCAUGCACGGGCUCAAAGUGAUAGAGGUCCCUAUAGAUUAUAUUGUAACAACAACAUACAUGUGAAUGCAGCUCUUUGACGUGACAGCAAACACACGUCUGUGCUUCCAUCAUCAAAGCCUACUGCUUUUGAUCCUCCUAAUGGGGAAUAUGAAGAAUGCGUUUGCCAGAUCGAUAACUGCACACCAAAUGGCAGAGACCACGUUUAGCACAGGUGAAGUGACUAGGACUACCGGUGAGUUCAACUACAGCUGUCCACCAGCACUGCCACUGUAGGGGCCAUGGUGGCAGCAGAAGGGGGAUGUGGUAGGGCAGAUACCCCCUCACCCUUUAAGUCUCAAGUUGGCAUUAACUUCUAUAAUUCCUCCAACAGUGAGCUGUUACUGCCUAGGCUGGAGGGAGAACAACAGAUGCAGGGGCUUCAUUGGUUCUUCCCACCAUGCUGGCUCCUGUGCAGGUCAGGGUGCUAAUUGGAGGGUUCUGUCAGUGCUGGCUCUAGUGUUUCUCAAUAGCAGGUUAACUGAGACUUUGACCUGAACAAUUCCUUGUGUGGGGGUGUCCUGUGGUCAGCAGCAUCUCUGACCUCUACCCACUGGAUGCCAGUAUCACCCAUACCCAACCCCUGAGGACAUGAGAAGCAAGAAUGUCUCUGGAUAUUGCCAAAUGUCCCCUGAGGGGCAAAAUCACCCCCAACUGAGAAACACCAUGCUAACUAUAUCUGCCCCAAUUACAUAUUCAAGAACACAGGCAAUUAACACAGUGUGGGGGCCCUAGUGCUCUUUGGGCGAAGCACUGGCCUUGGUGUCCCCACUUUAAUCCUGUGGGCAGGCAGGGCAGUGAGCCCAGGUUCCUGGUGUCAGUGUCUACUCAAGCCGUGUACUCAAGAGAUAUCAAAAGAUCUCAGUGUUCCUCUUUUCCCAGCGUGUGAUUCCCAUUGGAAUGACAGCAAGUGACUUUGGGGGAAAUAUUUAUAGAAUAUUAUUGUGGGUCUUUUCUCAAAGGGAUGUGGUCUCUCCUUCAGUCAGAGGGCCCCGGGUCAGUGGACGGGCUCAGAUCUGUAACCUGGCUGAGGGUCACAAUUUUCCAUCGAGGAGGCUGAUGCCAGUCAGCAGCUUUCAAUUUUUCCAGUUCUGAAGUCCACGACGCCUUGGCUAGCUGUGCAUCCAUUCCACCCCUAGGAACACCUGAUCAAUUAGCCGCUACCGCAUUUCUCUUCAGCUCAAGGCACCCUGGUAGCCCCUCUGGCCCCACUGCCCAUGGCAGUGAGCAUGUCCACCUGUUACGAAGUCCCUGUCAGUUCAGUAGCUGCACGGGCCCCCACACUGUGUUAACUGCCCCAGUUCUCGAAUGUGUAAGGGUAGAUAUAUUUAGCACAGUGGCUCUCAAUCAAGGGCAAUUUUGCUUAGCUUCUGCCAUUCCAGGAUUUUAUAAUCCCACCUAUGAAAGCGUCAUGGUGGUGUCUCACGUCCUGCCCCCUCUCCCUUCCCCGGAGGUUUUCUCCAUCACAUUGAUCUUUUCCCAUCUGCCCACGUCUACUGUGCUCUCUCGGGUGUCCAGGCUUUGCAAAGGCCAUUCCUUCUGCCUAAAUUUCAAUUUCUUACUUCCCUGUCCUCCAACAGGCUCUCACAUAUUUGUCCUCUGAUCUCAGCAUAGAUAGAACUUCCUCUAGAAAGCGUAUUCUAAACCUUAAACCCUGGCAACGGGCUUCUCCAAUGCCCCUCCCCCGGCGCUCAUAGCUAUCCGUAGCCCUUCCUAAAAUAGAUGGGUGACUACAUGUUCACUUCUCUGUAUGUGAAGUCAGGACCACACUUGUCCUUGCUCUCUGCAGUGCCCUGAGGUCCCAACCCUGUGCCUGCACACAGUGGGUGCUCCAUGGAUGUUUGUUGAAUGAAUACACGACAUGCUGCAGCCACCACUUAGCAAGCGCUUAUCCAGUGUCAAGUUCUAUGCCUGUCUCUUCACAUAAAGCAUCUCAGUUUUUUGAACAGUCUCAUUAGGUAGACAUUACCAUGCUGUAUUAAAGAUGAGAAAGACAAAGUGCACAGAGAUUUUAAAACUUACUCAAAGCCAUAGAGUCAAGAAAUAAUAGUAAUUUGCACCUUGGUCCUUUGAAACUAAAGUGUAUUGUUUUCACCUGCUGCCAGCCACAUGGAGAGCAAACAACAACUGUCCAUGCUGAUCUGCUUUAAGGUCGGCUUAGAGAGCCUACUCCCCUGGCAGGCCAUACUGACAUUUACAAAACAGUGGACAUGAAUUUCAAGAUGGUAUGAUUCAAAUGUUAUUUUGCCAUGAAGCCUUUCUGGUCCAUCAUAAAGCAUAUUGUUUUCUUCCUUCUUUGAAUAUUCAUAAUUUCUUUUUCACAACUCAUGAUUUUGCAACUGACUAUAUGCUGUCCUAACUCACUGCAUACCCAUUUCUUAGUCACAUAGUACAUGUCCUCAAGAUCCUGUAAAUGAAGGAGCCUUGCACUCUCCUGUUCUUAGUCGAACCCCAGGUGCUCAGAGAGCUGUGGUUGCCAGGAGGAGGGGAGCUGAGUGUAGACUCUCAGGCAGGGCAACAGUUGGGGGGGGUCCGACCUUUUUAGCACACCACAAUGCUGACACUACAUUGAAAUACUUCUGUCAGUAGAACAAAAGCAAAUUGUUCUAUUUGCCCCCUUCUUCAGACCACAAAAUACACAUUGGAAUCAAGAAGAUGAUCCCCAAGAGGAGCUCAAAACCAGAAACGACUGCUGGCCGUGGGCCCGCUGGCCAGCAGGCAGUCAGGGGCUGCCUGCAGCAGAAAGGUCCUCCCGUUGGGGACAGUCUGCAGAGUCAUUUCAAGAUGCCUGAACUUUCGUAAUGAGGCACUGGAGGCCAGCGCUGAUGCCAACUGAAGGCAAGGCAGGUGUCGGGCCACCUCUGCCCAAACAGACCCUGCAGGUGUGGAAGUCCCACGGAAGACGUCCUUGUCUGUGCAGCCUCAGGCCUGCCUGUCACUUAGUGACACGAUGGCUUACCCAUUGGAACUUUCGGAGCCAGGGACGCAGAGGCUGUAGCCCAGCCCUCGGUGGCAGCAGACAGUGUCCUGGGGUUAGGGGAGAAGGAAGGGACUGGGUGUCCUGGGCUAAUCCUUCUCUGGACACCUUGUCAGGCGCUCCACUGGGGUUCUUUCAAGGGUGGCAAACUUUGUCCAUAAAAGGCCAUUUAGUAAAUAUUUUAGGGUUUGUGGACCAUAUAAUUUUUGUUGGAACUGCUCGGCAGGUGGGUCGCAGCCAGGACUCUGAGCCAGCUUUAUCUGAUACUCAAUCCCCUGAGCUUUUCCCUCGGAUCACCCUGAUAAAAUGGCCACCACUUACACCUUCUGUGCCUGUACAUGCCAGACGGUGUUGUAAGCACUCCUCAAAAAGUUAACUUAUGUGAUCCUCUUACAUUAAGGAUUUAACUUAUUUGAUUCUAUGUAUGGGGUAGGAAUCACCUUUGUCUCCAUUUUAGAAAUGAGGAGGUGGAGGUGCAGGGAGUCUAAGAACUUGCCUGCAGGCGCACAGCCGACUUCAGUGUUGCUGGGAUUUGAACCCUGGCAGACUGCCUUGAAAGUCUGGGCUCCUACCCGUGAUGCUAAAAUACAGAUGAGCCAAACACCCACAGUAAAAGACACUGAAUAAUUGAAUGCUCAACUGUGUGGUCAGGACUCAAAGUGGCGUCAGAGCUUGGAGGACGGUCCAUGUGGAACGGAGCUGUCAAGGCAGCCCCCUGCAGGAGGAAGGAGACCAGGACAGGCGUGAGAGCGGAGGGGGGUUCCAUCUGGGAGUGCAGGAAAGGACAAUGCCAGUCUCCCUGGAAUGCUGCUGUUUGCUCCUUGUCCACACGCUCUCUGUUUAACCCAUAACCAAAAUUUAUCAAGCUCUUACAAUGUGCCCUAGUCUCAUUUCCCUAAAAGACAAAUUAAUCUGUUUUACUACAUAGAUAAUCGGAGGAUAUUAUUGAAGCUAAACGCAGUUUUGAAAAUCUCCCUUAAGGGAAGCAUGGCUCAGCAGCCGGGUGGAAUCGGGCAGCCUGGCUCUGGCUGCUGCGCUGCCGUUUGCAGGGAGGCUUAUCAGGUAGGACUUUUCCUAGCUCAGGUGGCAGAAAAUGCAACUCAAACUGCCCUAAAUCAAAAAAGGAGAUUUGUUGGCCAGAAACGGAAAGGCCGGGUGGCGAACAGCCUAUGUGCGCGGCCUGGCCUGGGCAGGGCCGUCCAGAACCUGCGCCCUCUCUCCACUCUGUGCCUGCGUCUCUGGUGCGGCGCGUCCCCCCUGCCCCAGCGCAGCUGGGCGGACACAGGGGCCGGCAGGUCCCACGCCAGCACUUCAGGUGGAGGACCUGGAGCCUUCUACACUCUGUCUCUGACCAGCUGACAGAGGUCACAUGGACAUUUUCUGGGCUGGUAGAACAGGGGACUUGGGCAGUUCAGGUCACAAACCAUCCCUAGUGCUUGAGUGGAUUCAACCUCUCUAGGCCAUUUUGAGUCCUUGUCACUUAAUUUAGCAAGGAAUUACCCAAUGCUUUUCUUUACUGUGGUGGAUAGAGCUGUUCCUUCCAAGCAAAAGUCAGGUGUCCUCAUAAAUGAGUUGGAGUGGCUGCUAGUGUCCUGAAAACAAUGUUUUCCCACUGUUAAAUAACCCUGGGCCUAUCCCUUAUGCUUCAUUUCUCUUAAUUUCCUCAUUACCUAUGUGCCAAAUACCCUAAAAGACUGAUAUAUUGAAUGCCAUUUCUUUAACAUUGGGUUGUUAUUUUACCCCCAGCCUCACCCGUGCAGUUGGCCACACCUGCUAUCCCCUCUUGAGCCUGUCACCGUCCACAAUGCCUCUGGUACAGUCCUUCUUGCCCCACACCGUGUUAUCAGGUGAGGUGGGUGUCCCCGAGCCUGGGAGGAGGCGCCCAUGAGAACCUGCACCACCUCCUUUUAGGAUGUGCUCCACAGACCCUGGGCUGCCCACGCAGGGCUGAUGCUGGCUGUGGUGCCAGCGCGGAGCUGCAGUGCAGGACAGGUGUCUGCUGCCCGUGCACAAAGGCCGCUCCAGCACGGAGCUGGGGCCAGAGAAGGAGGGAGGCAGGCUGCAGGCCAGGCCCCGGGGCCAGCUCUGCUCACCGGGUUGGACAUGGAGCUCUGAGGAGCUUGAGAAUUCUAAAUAGAACCUGAACUUGUGGCCCCUUAUAAAGGUUUAUUUGUUAAACAUCAACAAAUCGAUAAAUAAAACAGAAUCGAUUGUAUUGACAGUUUUCCGGUCUGGUUUAUUCAUAUGAGGUUUGGGGCUCCACUUGUGCCCCUGUACUGACUCUACAAUUUCUCAGCAAGAAAGCAGCGCAUGGAGAAAAACCAGGAAGUGCAGAGACAGCAGAUUUAAACUGGAAAGUCCAGACUGGAAUCUUGAGAGAGUGAAGGGGGAAGGGUGGCGGUGGCAGGGAGGAGAGAGGGGAAAGGAGGAGACAGUGCCAUG